This 463-nucleotide ribosomal RNA is filed under the name uncultured bacterium. RNAcentral describes it as "partial 16S ribosomal RNA". It matches the Rfam family "Bacterial small subunit ribosomal RNA", at positions 28 to 507 of the family's 1533-position model. The record is from RNAcentral.
GAUGAACGCUGACAGAAUGCUUAACACAUGCAAGUCGAUGGGGAAGUGGUGCUUGCACCAUGGCAACCAUGGCGGACGGGUGAGUAACGCGUAAGGGACUUACCUGCAGGACUGGGAUAACAGGGGGAAACUCCUGACAAGACCGGAUAAUGUCAUGGAGCUGCAUGGCUUUAUGAUGAAAGGAGACGCCUGCGGAGAGCCUUGCGUCCUAUUAGCUAGUUGGUGAGGUAAUGGCUCACCAAGGCGAAGAUAGGUAGCCGGCCUGAGAGGGUGGACGGCCACAAGGGGACUGAGAUACGGCCCUUACUACUACGGGAGGCAGCAGUGGGGAAUAUUGGACAAUGGGGGCAACACUGAUCCAGCAAUUCUGUGUGCACGAAGAAGGUUUUCGGAUUGUAAAGUGCUUUCAGCAGGGAAGAAGUAAGUGACGGUACCUGCAGAAGAAGCGACGGCUAAAUACGUG